Molecule: ribosomal RNA, 642 nt
Filed under: Metademius leai
Lineage: Eukaryota; Metazoa; Arthropoda; Insecta; Coleoptera; Cleridae
Description: partial 16S ribosomal RNA
Source: RNAcentral
CUCGAAUUCAAAAGAGUUAAUUUUAUUGUGAAAUAAAUAUUUAUAAUUUUUAAUUAGAAAUGAAACGUUAGUCGUUUUUGAAUAUAUCUAGUUUUUAAAGAAAUAAAUUUAAUUUAGUUAUUAGUAAAUUAAAAUUUUUAGGGAUAAGCUUAUAAUUAAAUUAUUAUAAUAAAAUAAUAUUUUAAAAAUUAUAGAAUUAAAAAUUUUCAUUGAUAAAAAAUUGUUAUAAUUAAUUUAUUUAAUUUUUUUAUUUAAAUAUAAAUUUUAAUUUUAAAAAUUUAGGAAUAAUGAUUAAAUUAGUAAGGUUAAAUUAAGGAAUUCGGCAAAUUUAUUUUUCACCUGUUUAUUAAAAACAUGUCCUUUUGAUUAUAAUUUAAGGUCUAAUCUGCCCACUGAUUGAAUGGCCGCGGUAUUUUGACCGUGCAAAGGUAGCAUAAUAAUUAGUUUCUUAAUUAGAAGCUGGAAUGAAGGAUUGAAUGAGAAAAUAACUGUCUCUAGAAUUUUAUAUUUAAGUAAAAAAGCUUAAAUUUUAUUAAAAGACGAGAAGACCCUAUAGAGUUUUUUUGUUGGGGUGAUAGAAAAAUUUAAUUAACUUUUUUUAUAAGUGAUAAUUUGAUCCAUGAUUAAAAGAUAAAAUUACCU